UCAGGACUCUGUAAAAGGCAGCAGCUCCCAGCUUUCACUCCAUUUCUACUGGCACAUGCAACCUCUAAUUUAGGGAAAAAAAGGCUACAGUGUGGCACACCCUCACUGAAAAAGUGCCAACACCCGCUUUACAAUAGCCCUUUUAAAAUCCAGGAUCUCUUCCAGCCAGUUUCAUCUAACUUCCAUUUCGUUUUAUUUCUACAGUCUACAGCUUUUUUGCUCACGUACCUUUUAAGUCAUUAUUUCCCGAAGUGAAAGAUAAUGUACCAUUAUUAACCUAUAUCUUAAGAAAACACAAUACAAUAGUAGAUCGAUAUCCCAGUCUACUAUUAAAUGGCUGCACAGCCAGCCACAAAUCUUCCUGUCCUUAUCACUCAAAUAGUGAAAUACCCAAGGUUCUUUCCCACAAAAAGCUCUUGAACAUUCAGGAUCUUUUCCACUUAACGGCUUUAUUCCUUCUUGAAGUCAGUUGCACAUAUUGCAAUGAUACAUUUCCUCUAUUACUUCUCCAUCUGCAAUUUAUGCAUUUGUAUGAAUUUAACUCUAGUGAACAAUAAAUUCAGAGAGAGAAGAAAGAGUGAGCAGUCAUCAUACUAACUUCUUCAAACCCAUUUGCCUUAGUUUUGGUAUAAAAGCAAUCAAACACCUAGUGCUCCGUGGGGAACCAGCCUCUAUUCCUGCUGACAUACCAGAAAGUCUCUGACGACGAGGCCAAUGAGAAUAAAUUUGUCAUCUUGCUUUUAGAAAAAGGAUCCUGAACGUUUUUCUGCUCCACCCACGUCACAUGGGCCAGAACUGCCAUCCCAUGGUAGCAGCCUUGAUCCCAUGCUCUCCUGAGUCAGGCUUGAAGUGGCCACUAAGGGCUGAGAUGCCCUACCCAGAUGGCAUCAUGAAACAUGAAAACACAAACUGGUGGGAGAUGCAUUUGAGUCACAAACCUCCUUUUGUUUACAGCUUACUUGGAGGACGGGGCUUCUUUGGAGAGAAAAGCUGCAAGAAAUCUCAAGCCCCGAUCCCCCCAGCCUGAUGGGAAACUUCUAAUUCACCCAGUUCAACAUGCUGAAUUAUUAUUCGGCUACUAGACUCAGAACUAAGGCUGCUGCAGGUACGGUGAUCGCUGCUGCAGAGAAAAGGGAAGGACUGCAACCUUACAUUGCACUGCAGCCACUUGUCUAACCUACACUAUAAUCAAACUCCUUGUUCUCCAUUCCUGCCCCCAGAUUAAGAGAGAC
RNAcentral lists this long non-coding RNA (1232 nucleotides) under Falco tinnunculus (common kestrel). Its description in RNAcentral is "lncRNA (ENSFTIG00000008125.1)". The record is from RNAcentral. Lineage: Eukaryota; Metazoa; Chordata; Aves; Falconiformes; Falconidae.